RNAcentral lists this ribosomal RNA (469 nucleotides) under uncultured bacterium. Its description in RNAcentral is "partial 16S ribosomal RNA". It matches the Rfam family "Bacterial small subunit ribosomal RNA", at positions 355 to 818 of the family's 1533-position model. The record is from RNAcentral.
UGGGGAAUUUUGGACAAUGGGCGAAAGCCUGAUCCAGCAAUGCCGCGUGUGUGAAGAAGGCCUUCGGGUUGUAAAGCACUUUUGUCCGGAAAGAAAUGGCUCUGGUUAAUACCUGGGGUCGAUGACGGUACCGGAAGAAUAAGGACCGGCUAACUACGUGCCAGCAGCCGCGGUAAUACGUAGGGUCCAAGCGUUAAUCGGAAUUACUGGGCGUAAAGCGUGCGCAGGCGGUUGUGCAAGACCGAUGUGAAAUCCCGAGCUUAACUUGGGAAUUGCAUUGGUGACUGCACGGCUAGAGUGUGUCAGAGGGGGGUUAGAAUUCCACGUGUAGCAGUGAAAUGCGUAGAGAUGUGGAGGAAUACCGAUGGCGAAGGCAGCCCCUGGGAUAACACUGACGCUCAUGCACGAAAGCGUGGGGAGCAAACAGGAUUAGAUACCCUGGUAGUCACGCCCUAAACGAUGUCAACUA